CACAAUAAACAUAUGAAGGCUGCACCGCCAACAGGCGGCAAGGCUGGAGUAUUUUAUUACCCUUGUCUUUUGCGCACUUGUUGUUUCCUGGGCGGGUUCGCCCGCCUCCAGGACCACAUGAUAAACCUUUUUAUGCAGUUGCAAUCAGCGUCAGUACAACAAAUGUAAAUCAUUUA
This 176-nucleotide unclassified non-coding RNA is filed under the name soil metagenome. Its description in RNAcentral is "partial internal transcribed spacer 1". The record is from RNAcentral.